ACUCAUUGGACUUAGAAUGACUCUUGCAAAACAUGAUCACAAGCAGUUGUGAUAUUAGCAACCACCCCUUCAACACUAUGGUUACGUAGGCAUUGAAUGAGAAGGCAGAAGGGUAUGUUUGUAAAGGAAACCAAUUUUUCAUAGGUUACUCCCUCCACAGUGGGAGACCACAGACUGAGAAGAGCUGACUACUCUUCCGGUAGCAGUAAUGCAAUUACACUAUUCAUAGCAAGAGAAAAACACCAGCUGAUUUUCUUUGCAUCAUAAUCCAGUAACCCCUGAAUUAACCUUGCUGGACACAGAUCUGUUAACUUUUACCAUGCUUCUCCAAUUAAACUAUUGAAGUCUGAGACAGAAAUAGCUAUCCACAGCUGUUACGAAUUGAUAUGUCCCCUGAUGAUGCUUGGCACUGCCUGAAGAAAAAAAAGUUUCUUAUUUUAUUCCUUGCCAUGAAGUUAACUUUUUCUUUUCUCAUUUUUUACUAUUUUUAAUAUUCUUUCAUUGCAAAGUGAUGGUAUUGGACUGCUCUCCCAUUUGCUUUGCUUGGAAUGGAAGGCAGACAUGCUACGUGAGUAUGCUCCACAAGGGUAACUUCAUACCUGAUAUUUUUGUUUUAGAAGGAGGAAGGGUGGAGAGCACUUGCAGGGCUGCGUGGCUGUAAGUGCGCCAAGUUACACUGGAGCAUACAUUGCACUUUCAAUGCAUGCUCCAAUAAACAACAAACCCUUGGAUGUCCUCUGCCCAGCUGGUAAUGACAGAAAGAAGGAUACAUCCACUUGAGGCCAAUGUCCUGCAAAUGCCUGCUCACAUGCAGCAACAGUGGUGGUUUUAGUGCGUGCUCGGAACGGAAAUCUCCAAAUCUGCAAACAGCAGAAAACCGGCAAAAUCCCCAAAUCUGCAAAGCCACAUCUGCAAACUGGUUUAUGUAUGUAUCAAGAAAACGUAGAUCUUUAAAAACACAUUAAGUGCUGUCUCUUUGAUCCUUCCCACACCUGUUUAGGACUCCUGAGGACCGACCAUCACAGCUGAAGGACAUUUAAGCACUGGUUGAAUGUCACAUUUGCAAAGUAAAGCUUUCACAUAUCUUUUUGAGCCUUGCUUGAAAAAUUGUCUUAAUUAUCAACAGUCAGAUGAUGUCCUUGGACAUAAAGCAUGACUACAGAAAACAAAGUUUGGAAGUGAGAACAGUGACAGCAAAAAAACACACAAACUGCUGACUUGGUGGCAAAAGCAUUUGUAUGGUACAGAUGGCACAGCCCACCUGCCAGGAUCAUUUGGACAGCCCUUGGCAAUGGGACAUCCAGGCACAAGGGUCUUGCCCACAACCUUCGUGGACUACAAAACACCCAAAGCUGCCCAUUCAUGAGGUCAGUAGUGGCACUUUGGGAAGCCACACCAUUGCAGGGCACCCAUCCACCUGUUCUGUCUGCAGGCUCCCCCGUGGUGGGGAUCCACCAGGCACACAGCUGCUUUGCCAAUCAACACAAAAGCAGCCACAUCCUCCACCCACAAAUGGGCCAGCAUGUAAUACUGAUGUGGUUUGGGUUUCUUUCUCAUAAUCUCCAAUGGUGCCUUGAUUCAGAAUAAAUGAAAGCAUUUAGCAUCUCCAAAAGCUCCAAAUAACUUGUGUGUUCUCAUCUUAUGUGCCUCACUCUGUGUGUUACUCUUUUGUUUGCCCUGCAUCUGGAGGAGAGAUUACAAGUUGCACCAUCAGCAGCCAAGCAAGGUCCAAGCCACAAGCAAGGAUCUGAGUCAUCCCCUUGAGAGAGUAUUUUAGCCAUAUAUCACUGUUUGUUUUCAGGCAAACCAGUACAAUUAUGCAACAUAAAUUCUUCUAAAGCAUUUGGGACUUCAGUUCAAUUUAAAAUCCUGUAGGUUUUAUGGCCAGAGUGAGUGAUUACUAAGUGUGUGCAUACAAAUGACGACUUCGGAAGAAGCAUGUGUGGAGGAUUAAAGGGCAUAUGAAGCCUCACACACACACUGGGCAAGCAGUGGUCAGACUGUACCAGAGGAUGUGAGAUCUGAAGAGCCCAUGUCAAAAGGGGAAUAUACAGACAGAUGUGUUUCUCUGCAUUCAUUUUUUACUUACACAGACGUAAACUCCACUAAAGCUGGGGGACUUAUUGACAACUGAUACUGAGGCAAUCCAAGGCCAGACUGUGACCUAUUGAUUUCCCUGAGCCUGCACAGGAUGUAUGUAGUUCAUUGCAGAACACAGCCUUUGUUUGUUUUGUUUAUUACCCAAUAUGUAACAAUGUGGAAUAAAGAACAAUGCCGAAUGGCAGAAAUGCCUGAGGAUUUCUCUUUAAUUGAAAUCAGGACUGGGAACAUCCUUGUAAAUCAAGAGCAGUCAGUCUUUGAUUAAAUUUACUGCUUUUGCAAA
Strigops habroptila (Kakapo) is the source of this 2383-nucleotide long non-coding RNA. RefSeq lists it as uncharacterized. Lineage: Eukaryota; Metazoa; Chordata; Aves; Psittaciformes; Psittacidae. The record is from RefSeq and is a predicted model, not a curated record. The transcript is spliced from 2 exons.